Branchiostoma belcheri (Belcher's lancelet) is the source of this 4250-nucleotide RNA transcript. It is a transcript of the gene named small G protein signaling modulator 3 homolog, with no coding region annotated. Lineage: Eukaryota; Metazoa; Chordata; Leptocardii; Amphioxiformes; Branchiostomatidae. The transcript is spliced from 29 exons. The record is from RefSeq and is a predicted model, not a curated record.
GUCUGUACUCAAACGGGUAAACAACGAAGCAGGUUGUCGGAAGGUCGCCGCUGUGAGCCUGGCGGAAUCACUUUCCCUUUAUUUUCUUAGCCUCUUAGUGAACUUAAGAUCGGCAGGAGAUCGCAGGCGGGAUGUUUAGCGAUCCAACAGCAGAGGGUUACGGCGGGAGAGGCUAUCAGGCUGAGUCACUGACAGAAGAAGAAGAUGAGACGUCAGGACCAUCAGACCAUGGCAGUGGAGAGGGUGUGUCUGUGGCGGCCACAUCUCUGCUGGGGUUUCUCAGUUCUCCAUCAGGAAACUACAGCCCGUCACCUGGGGGGCCAUUCUCUGCCUUAACACCCAGCAUGUGGCCACAGGACAUACUGGCCAAGAUAGCUCAGACCGAAGACUCCGAAGGCCAGCCUGAGUUCAGAUAUGAUGAGUUUGGCUUCCGUGUAGAGGAAGAAGAUGCUGCAGAGCCCAUGUCCAACAAGUUACUGAGCACCCCGCUAACGGAGGACCCCCAGAACAGGCUGAAGUGGCAGGCGUACCUGGAGUUCACACAUAACCACGAGGUCGGCGACCUGACAUGGGACAAGAUCGAGGCCACGCUGCAGAAGUCUGAGAAGCUAAACCAGCUGGUCAUGUCAGGCAUUCCCCACAGCAUGAGGGAACAGCUGUGGCUCAGACUGUCUGGAGCUCUGCAGAAGAAAGUGGGAAGUGAGACAUCAUAUAAGGACAUCGUAAAGGCUAGUUCAGAUGACAACUCCCUGACAGCCAAGCAGAUAGAGAAGGACCUCCUGAGGACCAUGCCAAGUAACGCCUGCUUCUCAGACAAGGGCAGUACAGGCAUCCCCCGGCUGAGGAGGAUACUGCGGGGCCUGGCCUGGCUGUACCCUGACAUCGGCUACUGCCAGGGCACUGGCAUGAUUGCUGCAUGUCUGCUGCUGUUUAUGGAGGAGGAGGAAGCAUUCUGGAUGAUGUGUGCGAUUGUGGAGGACCUGGUUCCUGCAUCCUACUUCUCUUCAUCCCUCAUCGGUGUACAGGCAGACCAACGUGUACUGAGACAGCUGAUUGUAAGCUACCUGCCUAAGCUGGAUGGAGUGUUGAAGGAACAUGACAUAGAGCUGUCCCUGAUCACGCUCCACUGGUUCCUGACAGCCUUUGCCAGCGUGGUGCACAUCAAGCUCUUGUUGCGCCUCUGGGAUCUCUUCUUCUACGAGGGCUCCAUCAUUCUCUUCAAGAUCACCCUGGGCAUGCUGAAAAUGAAGGAAGAGGAGCUGUGUGAGCUGGAGAACUCAGCAGCCAUCUUCAACGCCUUGUCAGACAUUCCAGGGGACAUACAGGAUGUCGAUGAACUCAUAGAGAUGGCCAUGCAGACGUCAGGCUCCCUGACUGAUGUGGUGUUGGAGGCUCACAGGAGGAAACACCUGGCUUACCUCAUGGCAGACCAGGGACAGAUCAUAAACCCUGACACUACGGCCACCAACCUGCCCAAACAGCAACUUGUGAAAAGAAGACUUUCCAGAAGUAGAUCUUUCAUUGGGUCAUUACUAUUUGGUGAAGAGGAGCAGUCCGAGGUGGUGAAGGCCAAAAACAUCAAACAAACAGAGAUGGUGUCCAACCUGAGAGAAGCUAUCCUGCAGAUAGCUAAGCACUUCCAGUCUGUGGAUCCAAAGAACUGCAAUUUAGACCUGCAGGCAGACUACUCGCUGGAGAGCCACAAACAGGACCACGAGAACUUUGUCAACGUGUCCAGGAACAGGAGGAGACGGGCCAAGGCCCUGCUGGACUUCGAGAGGCACGAUGAUGAUGAGUUAGGCUUCAGGAAAAAUGACAUCAUCACAAUUAUCUCUCAGAAGGAUGAGCACUGUUGGGUUGGAGAGCUAAAUGGCCUGAGAGGGUGGUUCCCAGCCAAGUUUGUGGAGCUUCUCGAUGAAAGAAGUAAACUUUACACAACAGCUGGGGACGACCAAGUCACCGAGGCAAUCACAGACCUGGUCAGAGGAACGCUGUGUCCAGCGUUGAAGAUGAUAUUUGACCACGGUUUGCGGCAGCCGUCCAUCCUGGGGAGAACCUGCCACCCCUGGUUAUUCAUCGAGGAGGCUGCUCAGAGAGAAGUGGAGAAGGACUUUGACUCAGUGUACUCCAGACUGGUGCUGUGUAAAACAUACAGGUUGGAUGAAGAUGGUAAGGUGUUGACUCCAGAGGAGCUUCUCUACAGGGCCGUGCAGUCUGUGAAUAUGACCCAUGACACAGCUCAUGCCUGUAUGGACGUGAAGUUUAGAUCAUGGAUCUGCUAUGGACUAAAUGAGCAGGUGCUGCACCUGUGGCUGGAGGCGCUGUGCUCCUGUGACCCUGCUGUGGAGAAGUGGUACCACAGCUGGUCCUUCCUACGCAGCCCGGGAUGGGUGCAGAUCAAGUGUGAGCUCAGACUUCUGUCCAAGUUCUCCUUCAACCUGUCUCAGGACUGGGAGUUGCCCAACAAGAAGGAGGCAGCUCCUACUAAAUAUGGGGAAGAACAUCAGAUCCAAGUAAGACCAAAGGAUAAGUCUGUGUUUGCCCAUCUAACUGUCAUGUCCAGUGUUCUGUUUUGUAGCAAACUAACCCAUAAUUGUUCCAACAAAAGUGCUGUAGUCCUGUUAUAUCAACCCCUUGUAUGUUUGAGUAGCAGCUGUGUCUAUGUGAUGAUGACCAAACACUGAGCUUGAAUGAUGUGAAUGUAUCAUAAUACUGUUGAUUUCUUUUCAGAAAUAUGGAGAGGUGACUCAGAACCAACAGGUGUCCCAGCCUCUGAAGGAAGGUGUACGGGACAUGCUGGUCAAGCAUCAUCUCUUUAGCUGGGAGUUGUGAGCAACUGAUGUCAUGCUUCCCAUCAUGCAACAGUCUACUGAAUUCUAACCGCCCAACCAGGAUCUGCUACUACAGAUGAAGAUUUCUUUAUUUGCUUACUUCACAGUCACUGGUCCAAAUAUUCAAACUUUGUUAGCUUCAGUCUGCUUGAACAGUUACAACAGAACACAGUGUCUGACAGUGCAUCUACAACAUGUUGAAAACAGCACAGUGUGAAAUCUUCCCAAUUUAGGUAAAAGUUUGUUAUGUAGAAUAGUUUCCAGUUAGAUCUCAACACAGGCUUCCUUUAGUUUACCUCAGGGCUUGCAGGACAGUUUAGGUUACAUUGAAGCUUUGUACAUAAGACUGUCUGUGCAGAUGCCAUAUGAUUGGCUGACAGUUGUGUCUUGAACAACUAUCUGACCAACAUUCUCACCAGUAGAUGUUCCAAGGUAUCACAGUAUUCCAUAUUUGUGAGGUAGCUGGCUUGAAAGUAUAUGAAUUCUGUAUUAUGGUGGUAACCUAUAUAUAUACAUGUAGCUAAGUUGCUGUAAAAUAAGUCAGUGUUAUUGCUCUCUUUAGUGUCAUGCCAAAGUUCCAGCUGUGCUUAGCUUCAGUUCCAAAAUCAAACGAUUUUGAAUUCCAGCUGUAAAAUAAGAUUAUUGUUUUAUGAAUAGCUGAUGGAAAAGUGCAUGCAAAGUACUGGUAACCACAGUAUUUGUUCACCAACAACUAUGCUUCCUCUGUAACUCAAGUCUAGGAUGCUUGUUUUCCUACUAGAAUAGGUAGUCUUAUUAGAUAUCAUUUGAUCUAUAGGUAGGAUUUGACUCUUGUCAUAGCUCAAUUAGCUUCUAAGAAUGUCCCUGAAAAAUAACUUCUCCCUUGGCCAAAGAGAUGUCACCAUAGUCAGAUAUGACAUGUAAAGCACUAGGUGUUUACUUCCUUUAGUUAACAUUAAGAAGAAUGUAUGCAGCUUAGAAGCAGAUGAAAAUGUACAUAUUUGUAUUUUCUGUUUCUCCUUUUUCUUCCUAUAUAUGAAAGGACACCAGAUGAUCAUGUGAAACAAACAUGUAGAAAUUGAUUCUUGAUUUUUUGCUGUCUUAUGAAUUCUAUGUUAUUCUGUAUAGGUGACAGUGCAAUGACCACUAAUGAAGUUUUGCCAAAACCAAUGAAUGGAAGUGAAAACCAUUCUUGCAAUGUUAGAAUAACAGUAUUGCAAGGUAUGUGCCUACUGGUUGAUGGAUAUAUAAAGGCUAUGAAUGUACAACGGUGACUGAGAUAAUUUUCAGACAGCAGAAUGUAUAUUUUGAAUUGUAAGAAGCCUAUUAUAUGCUGCAAUAGUAAUAUAAUAUACUCCAGAGAUCUGUGUUAUCCUAGCUCUUCCAACAGUGUUGUCUGCUGGGGUUCAGGAAAAUAAAAAGUACAAUGAGCUAGAGCAA